GAUGAACGCUGGCGGCGUGCCUAAUACAUGCAAGUCGAGCGAACAGAUGAGGAGCUUGCUCCUCUGACGUUAGCGGCGGACGGGUGAGUAACACGUGGAUAACCUACCUAUAAGACUGGGAUAACUUCGGGAAACCGGAGCUAAUACCGGAUAAUAUAUUGAACCGCAUGGUUCAAUAGUGAAAGACGGUUUUGCUGUCACUUAUAGAUGGAUCCGCGCCGCAUUAGCUAGUUGGUAAGGUAACGGCUUACCAAGGCAACGAUGCGUAGCCGACCUGAGAGGGUGAUCGGCGACACUGGAACUGAGACACGGUCCAGACUCCUACGGGAGGCAGCAGUAGGGAAUCUUCCGCAAUGGGCGAAAACCUGACGGAGCAACGCCGCGUGAGUGAUGAAGGUCUUCGGAUCGUAAAACUCUGUUAUUAGGGAAGAACAAAUGUGUAAGUAACUAUGCACGUCUUGACGGUACCUAAUCAGAAAGCCACGGCUAACUACGUG
This 497-nucleotide ribosomal RNA is filed under the name uncultured bacterium. RNAcentral describes it as "partial 16S ribosomal RNA". It matches the Rfam family "Bacterial small subunit ribosomal RNA", at positions 28 to 507 of the family's 1533-position model. The record is from RNAcentral.